CGGCGGACGGGUGAGUAACGCGUGGGUAACCUGCCUCAUACAGGGGGAUAACAGUUGGAAACGGCUGCUAAUACCGCAUAAGCGCACAGUACCGCAUGGUACGGUGUGAAAAACUCCGGUGGUAUGAGAUGGACCCGCGUCUGAUUAGGUAGUUGGUGGGGUAACGGCCUACCAAGCCGACGAUCAGUAGCCGACCUGAGAGGGUGAACGGCCACAUUGGGACUGAGACACGGCCCAG
This 238-nucleotide ribosomal RNA is filed under the name uncultured bacterium. Its description in RNAcentral is "partial 16S ribosomal RNA". It matches the Rfam family "Bacterial small subunit ribosomal RNA", at positions 96 to 334 of the family's 1533-position model. The record is from RNAcentral.